This 24-nucleotide non-coding RNA is filed under the name Arabidopsis thaliana (thale cress). The record is from RNAcentral. Lineage: Eukaryota; Viridiplantae; Streptophyta; Magnoliopsida; Brassicales; Brassicaceae.
GACAUUAGUGCAUUGGAAAGCGGG